GGGUUCUGGACAGACCUACGCUGUCGGGGAGUGUUUACUUCGCCUCCACUUCUGUUCCUCCCCGCCCUGGUGCUGCUCCAGGUCACAUACUCUUCCUGAGCCGGCUUCAGCCUCUCCGCGCAGAAGUCUCCCGGAGCCAUGGCCUAGUAUUCUUAUGUGAAGUCUACCAAGCUUGUGCUCAAGGGAACCGAGGUGAAGAGCUGGGUCCUGCAGCUCCGGCGGGAGCCUCCUCAGUUCUUUUCGGACGCACUCCACCCCCGCGAAUCCGGUGGAAGCCGUGAUGCGGAGAGCCGGCUUCGUGGCCUCCCAGGCUUCGCUCUGACCCUGUCUGGGCUGGAUGGAGGCCGGACCGCCCUUCCUGGCGCCUGUGCAGAGAGGGGCAGCCUCCUGCGCGGACGACCCUGGAAACAGGAUAGACGGGCGGGUGACCCGUGACCCCGUACCCACGAGUUUGGGUCCCUUGAGGCAUCUCUCCAGGCCUCUGCCUGAUUUGCCUGAGGUUGACUGUACAUGCAAAUAUUGAGCUUUCCUCCUGGCCUCCGUGAUAAACAGAAGUUUUGAUAUUGUUAGGCGAGAUGGAAAGAAAGUAUCAAGGAGUGAGCUGAAGCCACUGCCCUUGAGAACCCUCUCGAGGAGUCUGGCCUCAUGAAGAUGCCAGAAUAAAUGGCAGGUAUAUCCUGAAUGAAUGUGAGAUUUUUACUCUGUGAAUUU
RNAcentral lists this long non-coding RNA (711 nucleotides) under Homo sapiens (human). Its description in RNAcentral is "non-protein coding lnc-ANKRD20A2-22:3". Lineage: Eukaryota; Metazoa; Chordata; Mammalia; Primates; Hominidae. The record is from RNAcentral.